Toxotes jaculatrix (banded archerfish) is the source of this 607-nucleotide long non-coding RNA. RefSeq lists it as uncharacterized. The transcript has 5 exons. Lineage: Eukaryota; Metazoa; Chordata; Actinopteri; Toxotidae. The record is from RefSeq and is a predicted model, not a curated record.
UCUGUCCAUGGGGGUGGGGUGGGGCAGUGGCCAAUCAGAGGAGUUCGUACUGCCGCAGGUGCAUGCGCUGGAUGAUGUCACGACAGUCGUUGAAUACGCGGCGGAUGUUCUCAGUGUCGACGGCACAGUGACCCCAGCCCUGACUCCUCCCCACCCCCCACUCACCUGUUCCUGAUUUCACCUUUUACCUGCUCUUCCUGUUCGAUGUUUCUGCCUCAGCAGAAACUCGUCUCUGAUGAAGAACUUGGCUCGAGUCACUCUGGGGUCUUCAUCAGCAUCUGGAACACCUGGAAACAAACGCACGGACGUUUGUGCGUUACCUGUACACGUGUGGUGGUACCUGUGCUGAUGGACGGCUGUGAGCAGCGAUGAGGUGUGCUGCUGACACUCUUUCAGAGACUGGAGGACUUCCUGUUCAGCCUUCUGCCAGCAGCCCUGACAACAGUUGACUUCAUUAGAUGAUGCCAGUGACAGAAGCAGUGAUCAGUGACCUCACAGCCGAGCAGGCUCCUCUGUCUUUACGCGUGGCCCCGCCCCUCCACCGGAUAGCUCCUCCUCCUGAUCUGUAGAUGGCCCCACCCCCUCAGGUGACCUCUCUAAGACCAGG